Callithrix jacchus (white-tufted-ear marmoset) is the source of this 7948-nucleotide non-coding RNA. Lineage: Eukaryota; Metazoa; Chordata; Mammalia; Primates; Cebidae. The record is from RefSeq and is a predicted model, not a curated record.
AUGGACCGGUGUUCUGCUAGGAACCUGGCCACACAGCAGCCUCACCACUGUUGCUAUAGAAACAAUGAUAUCACCAAUUGUGAUUCUGAUGUCACUCUCCAGUCCCAGCAAGGGAUUCUGUAUCCAUGUAAUCAUGGCAGGAGGGGGGAUAAACUGAGGGAUAGUGAAAAGAACAAUAAAUUAAUCAAGAGUUUUCCUCAUAUCUCAGAACCUAUCCUGAGUGAGAAUUCAGCUCCUUUUCUAACCCAAACUGUGUGUGUCUUACACAAAAGUAUAGUUUGAAAUGUGGAAUAUAGCUGGUCAAGAACAGUACCGUGGCCUAGCACCGAUGUACUACAGAGGACACAAGCAGCCAUAGUUGUAUAUGAUAACACAAAUGAGGAGUCCUCUGCAAGAGCAGAAAAUUGGGUUAAAGAACUUCAGAGGCAAGCAAGUUCUAUGCUAACAUUGCAGUAGUUUUAUCAGGAAACAAGGCUGAAGUAGCAAAGAAAAGAGUAGUAGAUUUCCAGGAAGCACAGACUUAUGCAGAUGACAAUAGUUUAUUAUUCAUGGAGACAGCAGCUAAAACAUUAAUGAACGCAAAUGAGAUAUUUGUGGCAAUAGCUAAAAAAUUGCCAAAGAAGGAGCCACAAAAUCCAGGAGCAAAUUCUGCCAGAGGAAGAGGAGUAAACCUUGCUGAACUCACACAACCAAGCAGGAGUCAGUGUUGCAGCAACUAAACCUCCAGUUUGAACUAGAUGGAAUAGUCUUCUGCUUCUUAACUGUUAAUAAUGAUGGAAUUGCAGCCGGGCGCGGUGGCUCAAGGCUGUAAUCCCAGCACUUUGGGAGGCUGAGGCGGGUGGAUCACGAGGUCAAGAGAUCGAGACCAUCCUGGUCAACAUGGUGAAACCCCAUCUCUACUAAAAAUACAAAAAAUUAGCUGGGCGUGGUGGCGCGUGCCUGUAAUCCCAGCUACUCAGGAGGCUGAGGCAGGAGAAAUGCCUGAACCCAGGAGGCGGAAGUUGCGGUGAGCCGAGAUCGCCCCAUUGCACUCCAGCCUGGGUAACAAGAGCGAAACUCCGUCUCAAAAAAAAAAAAAAAUGAUGGAAUUGGAGCAUUUAUCCAGCCCAGUAUGACUUCUGAAAAAAGAGACUUGUGAUAAUAGAGUCAAGUUUCUAAUAUAGAAUUAUUUUAAGUGUUUUGAACUUAAUUUUUAGUAACAUGCAUGGGUCCCUCUCACUAAUGUUUCAGCAAUAGGGAAAAAUGAGAACUAUGUGUACACUUAUUCAUUAUUCCCCCUAAUUUCUCAUUACUAGGAGUAUAGACAAAUGACUGACUGGGUCCACACAGUUAACCAGCUUAGUUCUCCACACUGGUGUAGUAGUCAACUGUGAAAAAAAAUUAGAAUUUACUAAUUUGGGCUUUUCAAAAACAUUCUUUUUUUAGAAGGAGAUUCUAAUGUUAUUUAUGCUUAGCCAUAGUAUUCAGGCAAAUGUUCAUUUCUCCUGGUAUCUGUAUUUAAAAUGUACAUUCCACAUUUUAAUAAAUUAACUACAAGAAAAUAAUCCCACAUAUACAAGGUGGGGGGUGGAAAGAGCAUUAAUGGUAUCUAAAUUAUAGCCAGUCCUUUUUUUUUUUUUAAUGGGGUCAAAAAAAUCAAAUGUAACCCCAUCUUGUUUUAGGAAUUUGAGAACUAAUAAAUGCAUCUUAAUGUAUAGUGUUCCUUUCAAACAUGUGAGUCAUUUAACAAAAAUGAAAUAAACUAGGUAUCUGUGAUUUCUAAUUAAUCACUGCUGGCCAUUACAUAGGUUUUGUUGUUUGGUGCAGGGAGGAGACUUUCAUUCACUUUUGACGCAAUGUAGUCAAUGCACCAACAAUUAUGUACAUUUAAACUUGAUUAUUUUAAAUUCAAUCUUUAGUGCUACAACAGUAUACCGCAUUGUAGUCUCCAUAUAUAUAUUACUUUUCUGCAAUAUUUAAGAGUUGCUUCAAAGUAUACAAAAUGGGCCGGGCGCGGUGGCUCACGCCUGUAAUCCCAGCACUUUGGGAGGCCGAGGUGGGUGGAUCACGAGGUCAAGAGAUCGAGACCAUCCUGGUCAACAUGGUGAAACCCCGUCUCUACUAAAAAUACAAAAAAAAAUUAGCUGGGCAUGGUGGCGCGUGCCUGUAAUCCCAGCUACUCAGGAGGCUGAGGCAGGAGAAUUGCCUAAACCCAGGAGGCGGAGGUUGCGGUGAGCCGAGAUUGCGCCCUUGCACUCCAGCCUGGGUAACAAGAACGAAACUCCAUCUCAAAAAAAAAAAAAAAGCAUACAAAAUGUACAGUUACUGAAACAGCUAAUUAUUUCUCUCCCCUCUCUGACAGGAAGGGGCUUCAGUUGGUCCUCCAUGACUAGAACCUUAACAGUGUGCCCAUAUUUGUAACAUAAAGCAUUACAAUAUGUUAGUAACAAUCUUGCAGCCUUGUUUUCCAACAUUCAAUUAUUUUGAUCAGUUCAGUAUACUUCACUAAUUAUUUUAGGUAUUUUCAUUAUAUGAGAGCUACCGUGUGUCAGAGAUGAUUUAAUCUAUUUAUGUGUUGGUCUGCUAGGAGAACUUACACAUUUACAAUAAUGCAGAAUUAGGAAAAUGGUUCACCAGUGUUUGGUUUUAUGUAGAGGUGCUCAUGUUGGAAUAAAGCGGUAUAAAAAGCAAAAAAAAAAAAAAAAUGUAGAAAGGUCACUUGAAAGCUCUGAAUAACUGUUGGACUAGUGAAAAGCAGUUCAUGAUUAUUCGUCACAUGUAUUUUCUAGACAAUAAUUGCUAUAGGUGUUUAAAGAAUGGGUCAUCUCAAAAUGGGAGAUGGUCAGAGAAAAUUUUAUAAGGUAUGUUUGAGACAAAGGUGGAGAAGAGGAAUAGGACAGGGAGGUAUAUAGCUGACUUAAAACUAAGCUACUGAAUGAAAAGAUGGUGAGUAGAGAAAAUAAAACCCAUUAACCCUUUUUAUUUUCUCCUUCAUGGACAUGAAAAUUUGCCGCAGGCGUCAGAAAUACUGAGAUAAUUUGGCAUCUUCCUUCCCCAGUUGCUCAGAAUACUAUUGUGUAAGAAGAGGAAAGGCUGCAAGAGGGCAAGGGGGUUUGAAGAGAUGGAUGUUUGGUUAUAGACUGCACUGAUAAGAAAGGAAACGUGGGUACUUAGUCUUUCAGUCACUAUGGUUUGAUCAACCCCUUUUGCAAAAUCCUUGUGGAUAGAGUGGAAUAAUAGACAUAAAUUUUACACAUUUUAGGUUUAAAAAUAUAUAGACAUUAAAAACCCAUAAACACAGCAACUUAACACAAUUCUGUGGACUCCAUUAUAAAGCUCUGUGCUAUGCUGUAGGUUUGGAUUUUUAUUUUUUAAAUUUUAUUUAUCUUUUAAAAUAUAUUUUUGUAGAGACAGGGUUUCGCUAUGUUGCCCAGGCUGGUUUCAAACUCCUGAGCUCAAGCAAUCUGCCCACCUCCACCUCCCAAAAUGAUGGGACUGCAGCCGUGAGCCACCGCACCCAACUGAUUUUAUUUAUUUAUUUAUUUUUUUAAUCAAAAAGGGUAAAAGAAUAAACUCCACAGCUGCACUACAGUAAGGCUUUCCUGUACUGUUACAGCCCUAUUAUGGAAACACACCUAUUUGCAGGUUAGUGUGUUUAUUCGUAAAUGACUAGGUAGUAAUGCAUUAUCAUCUUCCAAAAAGAGAGGUAAAAUUAUCACUUUGAUACAGAUAGAAAAAUGAAUAUAUAUGAAAGAUUGUAUCUACCUCACAGGUGAGGAAGUUGGUAAGGUAUUACAAACAGUUCAAAAGAGAAUUUUUAAAAGAUACAUGUAUGUAUCAGCAAUAUUAAAAUAAAGGUGCAAAUUAAAGCAAAAGUGGCCUGCUCCACAGUGGGGAAGGAAAGUCGACCCAAUUUCCACUAGAUAGAAUUUUCACAUCUGUAGCCAAGAGUUAUUUUGCAUUGCUAUCAAUUAUCUACAGCUUUCAGAAUUGUAAAAUAGCUCUCACAGACUGAGAAUCAGAUCAUGUGGAAGAUUGAAGACAAUACUUAGUCUACAGGCCAUAGACAAUGUUUGGUUUUCUAUUUAAGCAUAAUUUUUUCCCUGUAGUCUCCCCCAUUUUGAUAAAAAUUAAAAUAAUAUUAAAGUGAGAUUAUUCUUGAAUACAAAAUGAGGCUAGUCUCAUCAGAUUUGGCCUGAUUGUUUACAUAGGUGCAGCAACUGGAUAGGCUUUCUUAAGUUUGCUUUAGCAGAAGUCUUCCUAAGGAAUCUCAGGUUGGACUUUUAAAGGCCUCUGUUAUUUACUGUGCUGAGAUUAGGAAGUCAAGCCUAAGAAACUCUCUCUACCAGGUUUCACCUGCAGUCCCUAAGAAAACAAGCAGGUAUACAUUUAGACUUCUCCGAAAUUAUUGCUCCUAAUCAUAGUCUCAACCACUAAUAUUAAUCAUAACUGUUAACCAAAGUACUUUCUGUUCUUUGUAUUUCACACACACACACACACACAAAAACUGGUGGGUGAGGGGUAUGUAAUUGGGAACAUCACACACCAGCUGAAAUUCAGAUGAGUAGAACUCAUGAAUACCCCUGAAGAAGACUUGCUACAGAUGCAGACACCCUUUAUACCGCCUCUCUAAGUGGAGAAGAUGAACACAGUCAUUAACAGACUUAAAGAUACAGCCUCUCUAUAAGUGAUAAAAAUAACAAGCAAAAGCAUAUAAACUUUAUGCUUAGCCAUCAAUGUCUCUGUGUUCCGUCUUACUUAGAAAUGAUCUACAUAUCCAGUGAAUAUACAUCAACUCAAUGUAAUACCACUCCAGUGUUUUAAGUUAUACAAAGAUGUUGGAAACUUAUCAUUAGGCUGACAUUUAAAACAUAAUAACUGUUGAAAUAAAGAUGUCAGAAUGAUUAUUCAACUUGGUUAAACACAAAUUUAUGUUUUUUGUAAUCUUUAAACAUUAAGUAGAAGUAAUGCUGGCUUUUUUGGAUCUGUGUAACCUGUGUAAGUUUAUGAAAAGCAUAUCAAAGUAAAAUAAAAGCAUACAAUUGUAUUAUACUUAACACUGAUAAAUAAGAAAAGAUACAGCUGUAUUUAUUAAACCAAAAUUAUUAAUCUAGUACUGUUUGCCAACGAGUUACCUAAUUUAUGUCAAUUUGGGUUUGUAAAAUGUUUCUGAGUUAGGUUCCAUAAAAAUGCUUUUUUUUUCUUUUCUUUUCUUUUAGGAUUCCCUUUAAAUAUUUUAAAUAUUAGAAGUUGGAUUUCCUUAUUUUCUAGGGAUAUCAAAAAUAUUUAAUUUACCUAAGUGUGUGUUUGUGUGCGUGUGCAUGUGUGUGCACGUGCCGAUCCAAAUAAACAUCCCUUGAUUUAGGAGACUUCAUAAUAUUACGUAUUGAUCCUACCUGGAGGAAGAAACUGCUGCUUCCACCUAAGGUUUUCUGAAUUACAGACGUAGCGAUGCAGUCACUGAUAGACAGUUUAUGGCUUCAAUUCUAAACCUUCAGCCAAACUUUGUGUCAAAAAUAAACCAGAAACAUAAAACUCACCUGUCCAAAUAUCAAAGAGCUCUUCUCCUUCCAACUGAGCACAAACACCUUGAUUGAUUUAAGCUUAAGAUAGACAAAAAGAUACUCUCAAAACAAAUUUUCUGUUGCUUCACAUCCAACAGAAGUUAGAUCUCUAUAAGUCAUUAAUCCAUAAAAGGAAUUACCAAUGGUCAGACAAUGAAAUCAAAUUUCCAAUCAUCAUUGCCACCAAUUGACCAUAAACAAACCAAAGUAAGAACCAAAACCAAAAUUAGUGGAGAGGAAAAUUAAAACUAGAAAAACAGGCCAGGCACGGUGGCUCAUGCUUGUAAUCCUAGUGCUUUGAAAGGCUGAUGCAGGUGAAUCACGAGGUCAGGAGUUCGAGACCAGCUUGACCAACAUGGUGAAACCCCGUCUCUACUGAAAAUACAAAAAUUAGCCAGGCGUGGUGGUGCACUCCUGUAAUGACAGGUUCACAGGAGGCUGAGGCAGGAGAAUCACUUGAACCUGGGAGGAGGAGGUUGCAAUGAGCCAAGAUUAUGUCAUUGCAUUCCAGCCUGGGCAACAAGAGCAAGACUCCAUCUCAAAAAGAAAGAAAGAAAGAAAGAAAACCUAGAAAAACAGAAUGUCUGCAAACUUCUAUUGCCACUCUGGGGGCUGAGAAAACAUACACCUGGUGCACUUGUCUCAUGAGGACAUGUAUCUCCAUUAGGUGGAUCUAUUGAGCAUCUUCGUGGAAGACUUCCAAACCCAUUAAAAGAUAAUUUUCAAAGAAGGGUAGAAUAAUGACUCUCACACAUAGAUAAAAAUGAACAUGUGUUAAUGAUUUUAUUUAACUCAUUAACAAGGAACAGGUGAGGUUCAAAAGACACAUGUACCUUCUAAAUACUGAAGUGAAUGUGCCCAUGGAAGCAGAGCUGACCUUCUCUACAGUGGGAGAGGUAGUCAGUUGACACUUCCCUUAUCGGUGUCUAUGCAAGAAUUAUAUUGCAUUGCUGUCAGUUAUCUACAGUUAACAGAGUUGUAAAAUAGCUCCAAGAGAAGGAGAAUCAGAUAAUGUGAGAUAAUGUGGAGGGGUAUGCUAUAGAUGAUGUGUAGUUUUCCACUAAAGCCCAAAAUACCCCAUAUAAUAGCUAUUAUUAGGAGAACCAUUUGGGAGGGUUUUGAACCAAGCACAACGGCCCUUAACUCCAACAUGGUAACAAGCCACUUAAACCAGUUCUGCAGACAACUAGCACAACGGCUUUUCUUUUUGUUUCUUUCCAAGUAAUCAAAACACAGCAGGAUAUUGUAGGGGUAGAGAGCCCAGAUUUUAGAGUGAGAAUUGGAUUUGAAUAUGAAAUCCCACCCUGGAUAGCUGUGAGAUGCCUGGCAAACCAUUUAACUUCCCUAAGCCUCUGUUUCCUUACCUGUGAAACUGGAAGAGUAGAACCUAUGUCACCAGGUGAAUUUGAGGAUUAAACAAAAUAGUGCCUGUAAAACAUUUAGCACAGUGCCUGGCAAACAUUAUGAGUACGUCACAAAUGAUAACUAGUAACUAUUUGACACUCGGUAAUAAAAAUACCAAAUUGUUCUUUAAAGAUGGGCAGUAUUUGUGGCCAUUCCCAGAUAGACAUAUGAACUCCAAUAAUUACAGUGAUCCUUUGCAUGUGAUAAUAAAUAAGAUACUUUCAAAUAUACGAUUUUAUCCUAUGUUUAAGAGUUUUUCCCAUAUGCAGAUUGUACAGUUUAUAAACAUAUAAACAUGUCCAUGUGCGUAUCGCAGCUACUGUCCAUCAAAGAAUCUGUAUUCACACAAAACUCAUAAAUUGCCCAUACAUAUUAACUCCUGAACUAUAGAUCAGAAUGUUACCUUAAAUGACGUCAGUUAGUCCACUGGAAGCCAUUCAACAUAUCUAGAUAGUGUUCGUGCAGCCUGGCAAAGUGAUCAAGUAUGCACAAUUUCCCCUGAAUUUUCUCAUUUUUUGGAAACCAUACUUAUAAUAUGAUCUAAAUAAAAACAGGGAAAUCAUAGAAAAUAACAAUAUUAAAACAAGAAAAAAUCUGAUUCAGUUCAAAUGCUAACUCUUCUAUGUAGCUGGUGACUCUCAGAUCUUUUUUUCAACUUUUAAGUUCAGGGGUACAUGUGCAGGUGUUAUGUAGGUAAACUUGUGUUACAGGGGUUUGUUGUCCAGAUUAUUUAAUCACUCAGGUAUUAAGCCUAGUACCCAUUAGUCACUUUUCUUGUGCUCUCCCUUUUCCCUACUUCCACUCUCCAAAAGGCCCCAGUGUAUGUUGUUCCCCUCUCUGUGUUCAUGUGUUCUCAUCAUUUAUCUCCCACUCAUAAGUAAGAAUAUGUGGUAUUUGAUUCUCUGUUCAUGAAUCAACCUAAAUGCCCAUCAAUGAUAGACGGGAUAAAGAAAAUGUGGUAAUAUACACCGUGGAGUACAAUGCAGCCAUGAAAAAGAAUG